UGGCCUACGCACUUGAAACAAUGUCACUGCCGAUGUUCCAAUGUUGCCCCUCAUUUCAUCCUCUUCAUUCAACUCUCUACAUUUGAACUUUGACCAAUGCCUUUGAAACUCCUCUGUCUCCUCGGGAAUCACAAAGUUAAUUUUCGAUAAAUAAGAUAUCUCCAAGUCAAAAUGUUGCUUCUGAAUUUUAUCCAUCAAUUGAUGCUCGAUGCUCGGCUUAUAAGGGAUUCCAAUUGAAUUAAUUUUUGGAAUUAAAUCUUCGGUAACCUGCAAAAUAGAAUUAUCCAAAAUAGGGAGGGAAUUGUUAGUUAUCGCCAACGCCUCCUCAACUCCACUCUCCCUUUCAUUUAAGCACAUUUCCAACCCUUCUUUCAUCUCCAAAGACUCUUCUUCAUUUUCACCCGUAACUCCAAUUCCAUCUAUUCAUUUUCACUCUCAGCUUUCUUUUCACUUUUCCAUGGCUCUACACCCUUUUUCUCACAAUCAACCACUUCACAAUUUUCUCUUUCACACCUUUGCUCCACCAUGUUAUUAAUUUGAGAAUUUAUCAAGUCACAAAUCUCUGCCAAUUCCCGCUUAUAAUCCAACCCAACAAUCUUGCUUGAUGUCCUACCCGCACACCUCGCAAUAGGCGUUUUCUUUUCCCUUGGAUACUCAUCCCCAUAACAUCUCCUAUGCUUCUCCCCAAAUUCCAUUUCUCGUCGAUUCAUCCUAUAUUGAUUUGGCGCAUAUCGUCUCCUCAUAAUAUGCCUCAACUCAUCCCAAGUUUUAAUAUGCCUCUCACCAUACCUUCGCUUAGAUAUCGU
RNAcentral lists this long non-coding RNA (806 nucleotides) under Olea europaea subsp. europaea. Lineage: Eukaryota; Viridiplantae; Streptophyta; Magnoliopsida; Lamiales; Oleaceae. The record is from RNAcentral.